GCUCCUUGCUCCUUCUCAGGGUUAACUCCUGUCCUCUUCCCUCUAAAAGGAACUUUCUCUACAAGAGAAUCAGUUUAUCUCACUUUCCAGUGAGACUCUUCCCUGAGUAAUUCAAUCAGAGGACAUUCAGCUGCGUAUAACCCAGCUCUGUGGUGUGCUGUAUGAGUCAAUGCUGCUCCUGAAUGUCUCAAAGAUGCAUGCAUAUCUUCUUGCCAUUCCCAGGACACAAGUACCGUGGAGAGGCUUAGUAAUUUAUUUUUUUUCCAGAAAUCUCUUCUAAAUAGUCUGUCCACCUCAAGCAUGCUGCUCCACACUGCACUUAUGCAGUCCUGGGAGAGCAGCAGAGCAAGCGACAUCACUGCCAAGCUCAUCAGUGCUGCCAGCUUGUGCCAAGACUUCUUUCAUCUACCUGCCUGCUGUAGGAAACUCAGCAACAUCCUGCACAGACUUCCCAUUGCAGAAGAGCAAAGACUAACACUUCCUUUGCGUGACAUUCACAGAACAGUUUAUAAGAGUAGAGGAUUUGAAAAAUACUUUAUAAAAGCUCCAAGCAGUCAUUUGGCUCAUUGGCAAAUCUGUCUGACUUCUGGAACCCACAUUUCAG
Molecule: long non-coding RNA, 604 nt
Filed under: Gallus gallus (chicken)
Lineage: Eukaryota; Metazoa; Chordata; Aves; Galliformes; Phasianidae
Source: RNAcentral